This 292-nucleotide ribosomal RNA is filed under the name uncultured bacterium. Its description in RNAcentral is "partial 16S ribosomal RNA". The record is from RNAcentral.
GGACUACAGGGGUAUCUAAUCCUGUUUGCUCCCCUAGCUCUCGCGCCUCAGCGUCAGUGAUAACCCAGAAAACCGUCUUCACCACCGGUGUUCUUCCACAUAUCUACGCAUUUCACCGCUACACGUGGAAUUCCGUUUUCCCUAAUUACACUCUAGACUAGAAGUUUCAAAUGCAGGUCUGGGGUUGAGCCCCAGGAUUUCACAUCUGACUUUCUAGACCGCCUACGCGCCCUUUACGCCCAGUAAUUCCGAUCAAUGCUUGCACCCUCCGUAUUACCGCGGCUGCUGGCAC